GGGCGUUUAGCUCAGUUGGCUAGAGCGCAUCCCUUACAAGGAUGAGGUCGCUGGUUCGAGCCCAGCAACGCCCA
RNAcentral lists this transfer RNA (74 nucleotides) under Planctomycetota bacterium. RNAcentral describes it as "tRNA-Val". It matches the Rfam family "tRNA". From Rfam's summary of the family: Transfer RNA (tRNA) molecules are approximately 80 nucleotides in length. Their secondary structure includes four short double-helical elements and three loops (D, anti-codon, and T loops). The record is from RNAcentral. Lineage: Bacteria; Pseudomonadati; Planctomycetota.